UACGUAGGUGGCGAGCGUUGUCCGGAUUUACUGGGCGUAAAGGGAGCGUAGGCGGACUUUUAAGUGAGAUGUGAAAUACCAGGGCUCAACUUGGGUGCUGCAUUUCAAACUGGAAGUCUAGAGUGCAGGAGAGGAGAAUGGAAUUCCUAGUGUAGCGGUGAAAUGCGUAGGGAUUAGGAAGAACACCAGUGGCGAAGGCGAUUCUCUGGACUGUAACUGACGCUGAGGCUCGAAAGCGUGGGGAGCAAACAGGAUUAGAUACCCCGGUAGU
This 271-nucleotide ribosomal RNA is filed under the name uncultured prokaryote. Its description in RNAcentral is "partial 16S ribosomal RNA". It matches the Rfam family "Bacterial small subunit ribosomal RNA", at positions 524 to 794 of the family's 1533-position model. The record is from RNAcentral.